AUUUGUGGCCAUACCAGCCUGUCAUUGCCCGAUCCCGUUAGAUCUCGGAAGUUAAGCAUGUCUGGGCCUGGUUAGUAGUUGGAUGGGAAUUCCAGGUGCCACAGUGA
RNAcentral lists this ribosomal RNA (107 nucleotides) under Gouania willdenowi (blunt-snouted clingfish). Lineage: Eukaryota; Metazoa; Chordata; Actinopteri; Blenniiformes; Gobiesocidae. The record is from RNAcentral.